This 700-nucleotide ribosomal RNA is filed under the name uncultured bacterium. RNAcentral's name for it is "bacterial SSU rRNA". It matches the Rfam family "Bacterial small subunit ribosomal RNA", at positions 94 to 828 of the family's 1533-position model. The record is from RNAcentral.
AGUGGCGGACGGGUGAGUAACGCGUAAGAAUCUAACUUCAGGACGGGGACAACAGUGGGAAACGACUGCUAAUACCCGAUGUGCCGCGAGGUGAAACCUAAUUGGCCUGAAGAAGAGCUUGCGUCUGAUUAGCUAGUUGGUGGGGUAAGAGCCUACCAAGGCGACGAUCAGUAGCUGGUCUGAGAGGAUGAGCAGCCACACUGGGACUGAGACACGGCCCAGACUCCUACGGGAGGCAGCAGUGGGGAAUUUUCCGCAAUGGGCGAAAGCCUGACGGAGCAACGCCGCGUGAGGGAGGAAGGUCUUUGGAUUGUAAACCUCUUUUCUCAAGGAAGAAGUUCUGACGGUACUUGAGGAAUCAGCCUCGGCUAACUCCGUGCCAGCAGCCGCGGUAAUACGGGGGAGGCAAGCGUUAUCCGGAAUUAUUGGGCGUAAAGCGUCCGCAGGUGGUCAGCCAAGUCUGCCGUCAAAUCAGGUUGCUUAACGACCUAAAGGCGGUGGAAACUGGCAGACUAGAGAGCAGUAGGGGUAGCAGGAAUUCCCAGUGUAGCGGUGAAAUGCGUAGAGAUUGGGAAGAACAUCGGUGGCGAAAGCGUGCUACUGGGCUGUAUCUGACACUCAGGGACGAAAGCUAGGGGAGCGAAAGGGAUUAGAUACCCCUGUAGUCCUAGCCGUAAACGAUGGAUACUAGGCGUUGCUU